GACCUUAAUUCCAUUAAGCCCCCUUCUGUCUUCUCACUCCCACCGUCCCACGCACGUCGGUGCGUCUCGCCGCCGGCUGAUCUCUAGAUUAUCUCGCCGUCACCGACGAUUAAGCUCGCCGCUACCCAGAUUCGCAGCCGGCCACCAUGCCAGGUCCACCACCGACCCAAACAGCCCAACCAGACCCAAAACCCAACAACAACCGCCGCCGUGUUCUCCUCUUCCUGGCGCCGCCACUUCUCGCGGUCGCCGUCGCCCUCCUCCUGGGCGCGUCCACCAACCCGCUACCCCGCCGCUUCCUCCGCGUUCUCCUCGGUCCUAAGCCCUCCGUUCUCCGCCCAGCAGCGCCUCGUCCCGCGGUCGACCUCUCCCCCGAUGCGGGACGCCCACCAUGUGUUCUAUGGAUGGCCCCAUUCGCCUCCGGCGGCGGGUACUGCUCCGAGGCCUGGUCCUACGUCGCCGCGCUUGACGCGCACGCUGACGCCUGGGCGGGCAAGAACUUCACGCUCGCCAUCGCCCACCACGGCGACCUUGAGUCGCCGGAGUUCUGGAUUGGCCUACCGGAGCCGUCCAAGAAUCUGGCGUACAGGCUCGCCGCCGCGCGUUGUGAGCUCGGGCGCGCCGUGGUCGUCUGCCACAGCGAGCCCGGCGCGUGGUAUCCGCCGAUGUACGAGGCCCUGCCCUGCCCGCCUACCGGGUACCACGAGCCGGCGUUCGUCAUUGGCCGGACUAUGUUCGAGACUGACCGCGUCUCGCCGGAGCACGUUAGGCGGUGCAAUCAGAUGGACGCUGUCUGGGUGCCGACGGACUUUCACGUGUCAACAUUUGUGAAGAGCGGCGUGGAUCCUGCCAAGGUUGUCAAGGUGGUGCAGGCGGUGGAUGUCGAGUUCUUUGAUCCAGCAAAGCAUGCAGCGCUUCCUCUGCCGAUUGGUGUGCCUGUCAUGGUGCCUGAAGGUUCCAUAUUGGAACAUGGUGACCCCAAAAGCAGAGGCUUUGUGUUUCUUAGUGUGUUCAAAUGGGAGCAGAGGAAGGGCUGGGAUGUGCUGCUGAGAGCAUUCUUGCAGGAGUUCUCUGGAGCUGAUGAUGUGGUACUCUACCUCCUAAUUAGUGCCUACCACUCUGACACAAACUUCAUUGGGAAAAUCCGCAGAUUUGUGAAAGAAUCAAGCAUUAAUGAGCCAGUGGAAGGAUGGGCUGAAAUCCGUGUUAUUGAUGUGCAUGUCCCUCAGUCAGCACUUCCAAGUUUGUACAAAGCUGCAGAUGCAUUUGUUCUGCCAACCCGUGGCGAGGGGUGGGGUAGACCGGUGGUUGAAGCCAUGGCCAUGGCUCUGCCAGUGAUUGUGACGAAUUGGUCAGGCCCAACAGAGUAUCUGACUGAGGAGAAUGGGUACCCAUUGAACGUGGACAGGCUGACUGAGGUCACAGAAGGACCAUUUAAGGGCCACCUAUGUGCGGAGCCAUCAGUUGAUCAUCUGAGGGCUUUAAUGAGACAUGUCUUUGGUGAUAGAGAGGAGGCAAGGAGUAAAGGGAAGAAGGCAAGGGAGGACAUGAUGGAGAGGUUCUCUCCAGAAAUCGUUGCAAGGAUUGUUGCUGAUAAGAUACAACAGGCUCUUGUCAAUACUCGGUCGACGGAAGAUUAAACUAUGACCACAAAGUGCCAGUGGAGAUUUGAUACACCAUGGAGGCAUAGAAUGCUAUGUACGGUGAUGCGGCGCGGGGACGGAGAAUGCUCAGUAGUAGCAGAACAACACCGGUGAUGGAACUGACGAUGAGAUUGUAACGCAAGAGAUUUCUCACGGCGGUGUUCAUCUAGAGAAAUAACACUAAAGGAAUGACGUACGGCUCCAUCCAAGGCAGAUCAAAAGAGAAAUACCCAACUCCAUCUGUCCUCAGCUCAUUGUGGACUAGUGGACUAAUAAUAACGAGUCCAAAGAUAUGUAGGUUUUGAGAUAAAAAUGGCAUCACUUGUUUCAUAUUUGAAUGUAGUUUCGUGUGAUUACAGAUUUUAUUGCAAAAAAAAGUAUGAUGUAGUAGAAGUUAAUAAUACUCGAAAUUAAUUAUGGAGAUUGGAGUG
This is an RNA transcript of Setaria italica (foxtail millet), 2074 nucleotides long. RefSeq lists it as uncharacterized. The transcript is spliced from 2 exons. The record is from RefSeq and is a predicted model, not a curated record. Lineage: Eukaryota; Viridiplantae; Streptophyta; Magnoliopsida; Poales; Poaceae.